Molecule: ribosomal RNA, 468 nt
Filed under: uncultured bacterium
Lineage: Bacteria
Description: partial 16S ribosomal RNA
Rfam family: Bacterial small subunit ribosomal RNA
Source: RNAcentral
GACGAACGCUGGCGGCGUGCUUAACACAUGCAAGUCGAACGGAAAGGCCCUGCUUUUGUGGGGUGCUCGAGUGGCGAACGGGUGAGUAACACGUGAGUAACCUGCCCUUGACUUUGGGAUAACUUCAGGAAACUGGGGCUAAUACCGGAUAGGAGCUCCUGCUGCAUGGUGGUGGUUGGAAAUUUUCGGCGGUUGGGGAUGGACUCGCGGCUUAUCAGCUUGUUGGUGGGGUAGUGGCUUACCAAGGCUUUGACGGGUAGCCGGCCUGAGAGGGUGACCGGCCACAUUGGGACUGAGAUACGGACCAGACUCCUACGGGAGGCAGCAGUGGGGAAUAUUGCACAAUGGGCGGAAGCCUGAUGAAGCAACGCCGCGUGCGGGAUGACGGCCUUCGGGUUGUAAACCGCUUUCGCCUGUGACGAAGCGUGAGUGACGGUAAUGGGUAAAGAAGCACCGGCUAACUACGUG